Molecule: ribosomal RNA, 50 nt
Filed under: Heterorhabditis indica
Lineage: Eukaryota; Metazoa; Nematoda; Chromadorea; Rhabditida; Heterorhabditidae
Description: partial 28S ribosomal RNA
Source: RNAcentral
CAACCUGAGCUCAGUCGUGAUUACCCGCCGAACUUAAGCAUAUCAUUCAG